This 799-nucleotide ribosomal RNA is filed under the name uncultured marine eukaryote. RNAcentral describes it as "SSU rRNA". It matches the Rfam family "Eukaryotic small subunit ribosomal RNA", at positions 64 to 870 of the family's 1831-position model. The record is from RNAcentral.
UAUAAGCUUCAAUUUUGUGAAACUGCAAAUGGCUCAUUAAAACAGUCACAAUGCAUUUGGCGAUCAAUUCUAAAUGGAUAUCUGUGGAAAUUCUAUAGUUAAUACAUGCACUAAAACUUAUCUUUGGGGAAAGGUUGUGGUCGUUAGUUACAGAACCAAUUCAAGCUAUGCUUGGACACUUGAAUGAUUCACAAUGACAAAUGAAUUACAUGGCAACAGCUGGUGAUAAUUCAUUCCAGUUUCUGACCUAUCAGCUUUCGACGGUAAGGUAUUGGCUUACCGUGGCAAUGACAGGUGACGGAGGAUUAGGGUUUGAUUCCGGAGAGGGAGCUUGAGAAAUGGCUACCACAUCUAAGGAAGGCAGCAGGCGCGCAAAUUACCCAAUCCUGGCACAGGGAGGUAGUGACAAGAAAUAACAAUACAAGGCAUCCAUGUCUUGUACUUGGAAUGAAUGGAUUUUAAACCUUUCUAUAAGUAUCAAUUGGAGGGCAAGUCUGGUGCCAGCAGCCGCGGUAAUUCCAGCUCCAAUAGCGUAUAUUAAAGUUGUUGCGGUUAAAAAGCUCGUAGUUGGAUUUCUGCUGAGGAUGGCUGGUCCGCCCUCUGGGUGAGUAUUUGGCACAGCCUGAGCAUUUAUCUUGAAAGUACAACUGCACUUGACUGUGUGGUGUGUUAUUGAGAACAUUUACUUUGAGGAAAUCAGAGUGUUUCAAGCAGGUGUUUGGCCUUGAAUACAUUAGCAUGGAAUAAUAAUCAAGAUCGUGGUUCUUUUUUGUUGGUUUCUAGAAUUGAGGUAAUGAUU